Molecule: long non-coding RNA, 2076 nt
Organism: Plodia interpunctella (Indianmeal moth)
Lineage: Eukaryota; Metazoa; Arthropoda; Insecta; Lepidoptera; Pyralidae
Exons: 4
Source: RefSeq, a predicted model, not a curated record
UUGAUGUUUAUGAAAAAAAAUUGUGAAUGACAUGCUGGGCUGCGGGCCAAAUGGGUCUUCUUAUGUUAGUAUGGUGGCAAACUCUGGUGUGUUGUGAGUUUUUUCUCGAGUUUGAGGUGCGAUAUUGAAGUUGUAAGGAGUCAGUGGGGAGCCGUAAGAAUGAUACCUGACUUCACAUCGAUUUCUGAGGGGGAAAUAGUUCCUAAACCCAAGACAGCCUUCGAUCUCCACCGAGCGCUACUGGCGAGUAAGGGAAAGACACGACAUCCAGACAUGUCGGCGACAGAGGUCAAUAAACUCCUCCUUGAAUACGCCUACAGGGGAAGCAAUAUUAGGUACAGAAGCCGAGGCGAUGAAGCCUUGCCGUGAACUGAGAUCAGGGCUAUUCGGUCUAGUACCCUUUGGACCUACAAGAUUCGACCCAAAAGCAAUGAGGGAAUGAAAUGAAUGAAUGAAAUUAUUUAUUUUGGACUGUACACAAACGAAUACAAGUCUAUUUUCGUAGUAGACUUAUUACAACUAUGUUAGUAGAAUUUAAAAUUAUUAAUUGUUGAGCGCAACUUUUAGUUGCUAAAAGGUGUGCUUUGAAGAAUAAGUAGUUCAAGAAAUAAUGGACAGGGUCCAUUAUAUUAUUAUAUUAUAUUUAUAUGGACGUCCCGGCCUGUGGGGUAGUGGUUAACACGAACGGGCGGCCGCCGCUAUCUGGAGGUCCGGGGUUCGAUUCCCAGUACGAGAAUUAGUACCUAACGAGCACAACAUACCCAGAACCGCACACAAAUAUCACAAGUACCUGUGUUUCUAUUUGUCGCCGGUUCUGGGUGCGUUGUACUCAUUUCUGUAUGUAUGUCCAUCGGACCCACGAUAUAAGUUUAGUGCUUGUGAAUGCCGUUGAAUAAUUUACAUUUUAUUUAAAUUAAAUAUAUAAUCUAUAGGUAUUUAUUAAGUAACAUCGUACAGGGCUCUUCAAGAUUAUUUUUUGAAAAUCCCGAAGAUUUUGGUGGCAGGGACUAGAAUUUGCAUACGAAUAGGUAAAAUGAUCGAGGUCCAGUGUGUACUAGUACGUCAAUUUUGUUUCUCAAAUAUUGCAAAGUGAGAUGCAGAAAAACACCUAAAAUAGGCUGUAAGUUUUUAAUAAAUGUGAGGGUAGAUGCAUAUUUCUACAUAUUAUAUAAGAAGGCUGAGUAAUGGGUACCGAUGACCUUUUACACUAUCGAUUGACCCAUGCAGUCCAAAUUAUUCAGGUGUAGACUUUUACUCUGCUAAUGAUAGUGUUUUUUUUCACUUUUAGAAAAAUUCAGCUACUCAAAUAUCUACACGAAUACGUAUACACUAAUAUGAAGAUAUACCCUCUUAUUCUCAUAAGAAAGCUAAAGUGUCAAUUAUUGUGAAGUGUUGAAGUGCUAUAGUGAUAAAACAUAGUUAAAACAACUUUUUUAUGAAUAAGAUUGAUAGUUUUCAAAAAGUGACGUAGACGUAGAGAUAGUUGCGGGAAGUGCAAAAACGUUGUAGCAGGAUCAAUUGAACAGAAAUCAACCACCAUUUUGUUUCUAAAUACCACAAAUAUAAGAACAUAAUGUUCUUAUAUAUGUGCUAUUUGACGCAAAAUGUGCAUUUCGCAAAAUGAGGACUUGGCAAAUAUGCACAACGCAUGUGCAUUUUUCAACAUGGGUACUUCUUAAAAUGCUCAUUUUGCGUUAGACCCUUAACAGGGGAAAUUACGCGCUAUCCUGGGAAUAUUAGGAAUCAACAAAAAUGGCGCAAGAACAAUUAAUUGCUCUUGAAAACUAGACAUUACGCACGUUCAUUCAUGACACUAAUGCCUCACGCCAACUGAUGCGACAGGACAGGACAACCAAGAUGGCGGCUUGAUUAAUAUUAGCAACAAGGGACUAUCGCUCAAAUUUUUAUAAAUUUAGGAAUAUAGAAUUAUAGCAUAAGAAUUACCCAAUGCACCCAUUAUAAUAAUAAUUUAUUGCAUAUAUUUGCUAUUAAAAUUUUAUAAUACCAAAUGCACACAGAUUGGUAACUUUUGUAUAUCAGAAUCUAUGCAUAUCCUAUAUAAAUGUAUUAAAAACA